GUCAGAACCAAUAGAUCUCUCAGAACUGGAAGCUGAUGAGGCAGAAGUGGCACAUCUGCGGCCCCACCAGGAAAUGAAGAUGGAGAUAGAAGAACAAUGGCAUCCACUCCAGAACUGUUUAUACGUCACUGAAAAUAAGACAUCUGAACUUAAAACCAUCGGGCACUUUGCAUUAUCACCUACCACCAUGAUAACUCCUUUUCAGAUUUCAAAUGUCCCCUUCUUAGGUCUCAUGCAUGGCAGAAUCGAGGAAUUUAUCGGCUCCACACCCUUUUUCUCCAGGCCCAGGCAGCGUUACAUUUCGUGCCAGAAAACUGUGUCUACUGCUGUACUGCAAACAAACAACAGACGCUCCAUCAAUGCCCAGCAGCUGAUGGCUGGCCAUGAAUGACCACAGAUGCUGAUGAAAUGCUUGUAACAGCAGAUUAUCCAUUAGGAUAAUGGCAUGCCUUGUGGGAACUAAAGCACGGCACGAAGCUUAUUAAAGUCUUUAAACAUCUGCCAUCAGAGGAGAGGAUUUUUUGAAACUAGUGGUUUAGAAGAGGCAGAGGUGGCUUGUUAAGAAAAAGAAGAGGAGGUAGAACCACAGGAAAGGAAAAGGAAGAGGAAGAGGAAAAGGAAGAGGAAGAGGAGGAGAAUCUGGCUGCUCAAAGCAGCCAGGAUAGGAAUGAGAGACCAGCAACAAACCCCACAAUGGAGUCUUGUCAAGAAGAGUUGCUUUAACAAGGAGAAUUGCUGAAGCCGACUGAAUUAGUUACCAAGGGACCUGCCAGAUACAGAGUCCAUGGUUUUAGGAACUUGUACAUAGUAUAUGUAUUACAAAGAGAGUUCUGUGAGAAGUGCAGCUACAGAAGCAUCUCUGCUCACUGACACUGGAGAAUUCACGCAGAGGAAAGGAAUGCUCACUAGAAGGAAUGCAGUUUUAGACAAACCAGAACUUUGGAUCUCUUACCACACUGUAUAUUCACACAGAACAUUAUAGAAAUUUUAUGAAGAGCUGAAACAACAAAGGAAUCUUUUCUAACUCCAGUCUUGGGCCCAUGAUGGGAUGGACUCUGUGGAUUUGAUCACAGACCAGAUUCUGAGGCACAUCCUAAAACAUACACAGUUCCCAACAGGGUCCUCGUGGGGACCAGACAGCUCUGGCUGUGUGUGUAUGUGGGGAAGCUUGAAUUCUCUGCUCAUUUUUGCUUCUGCUUCUCUCAUAUUUUCCUCUAGAGUGUGGUGGUGUCAAGUACUAGACUGGUUAUCACUGUCUUGCUUUUAACCCUAACCCAACUCCGUGACCAGGAAUUCAAAUGUCACCAUAAUGUACCAGUUUAGACUUUAGAACCUGACAUUUGCCUGACCCGUAAGCUCCUGGUCAUGGGACUGGAGGCACUUAAUUUCUCAAGGCC
Molecule: long non-coding RNA, 1397 nt
Filed under: Mus spicilegus (steppe mouse)
Lineage: Eukaryota; Metazoa; Chordata; Mammalia; Rodentia; Muridae
Description: lncRNA (ENSMSIG00000016729.1)
Source: RNAcentral